Molecule: ribosomal RNA, 468 nt
Filed under: uncultured bacterium
Lineage: Bacteria
Description: bacterial SSU rRNA
Rfam family: Bacterial small subunit ribosomal RNA
Source: RNAcentral
CCUCCAGACUCCUACGGGAGGCAGCAGUGAGGAAUAUUGGUCAAUGGCCGAGAGGCUGAACCAGCCAAGUCGCGUGAGGGAUGACGGCCCUACGGGUUGUAAACCUCUUUUGCCGGGGAGCAGUGGUCCGGACGCGUCCGGACCGGGAGAGUACCCGGAGAAAAAGCAUCGGCUAACUCCGUGCCAGCAGCCGCGGUAAUACGGAGGAUGCGAGCGUUAUCCGGAUUUAUUGGGUUUAAAGGGUGCGCAGGCGGAAGAUCAAGUCAGCGGUAAAAUUGAGGGGCUCAACCUCUUCGAGCCGUUGAAACUGGUUUUCUUGAGUGAGUGAGAAGUAUGCGGAAUGCGUGGUGUAGCGGUGAAAUGCAUAGAUAUCACGCAGAACUCCGAUUGCGAAGGCAGCAUACCGGCGCUCAACUGACGCUCAUGCACGAAAGUGUGGGUAUCGAACAGGAUUAGAUACCCGUGUAC